GCCACGGUGGUCUAGCGGUUGAACGCUGGCCUUGUAAUCCUGGGGUCCCGGGUUCGAUUCCCGGCGGUGCCG
RNAcentral lists this transfer RNA (72 nucleotides) under Zootermopsis nevadensis. It matches the Rfam family "tRNA". Rfam says of the family: Transfer RNA (tRNA) molecules are approximately 80 nucleotides in length. Their secondary structure includes four short double-helical elements and three loops (D, anti-codon, and T loops). The record is from Rfam by way of RNAcentral. Lineage: Eukaryota; Metazoa; Arthropoda; Insecta; Blattodea; Termopsidae.